Molecule: long non-coding RNA, 5694 nt
Organism: Hylaeus volcanicus
Lineage: Eukaryota; Metazoa; Arthropoda; Insecta; Hymenoptera; Colletidae
Exons: 2
Source: RefSeq, a predicted model, not a curated record
AAAAAAAAAAAAAAAAAAAAAAAAAAAAAAAAAAAACGCUCGUUUCUAGAUAUAUCUCGUUCGCGUUUGCUCGAUCCAGGAAUUCCUUUGAAAUUCCUCCGAUCGGUUUGCUCCCUCCUAUUAUAGAAUCGAUGGAAAUGCAGAAAGGACACUUAAAGACUCAAAAGUGUACGGUAAAUAGGGACAGGGUAAAUCCUAUAUGUACAGGAUAAAGGAGUUAAACGUAACGGAGAAAUUUUAUUUAAACGAUUCCUAUAUACAAAUUAGUUGUAUAGAUCGAGAAGUAAAUCCGUCCCGACGCGCAGUCUCUUUCGUUUAACGUUACAGAGAUAUCGCAACCGUGUCUUCUAGGAGUCACCAAGGGAGCUCAUUUAUGGCGACACGUUUUUCUUGUUGGCCCACAGCGAGCUCCCUCCGUCCCCCAUCCGCGGUUUAAGGUCGCGAGACACAGACGAGACGUCCGCGGCGAGAUAUCCGAAGUAGGUAUCCCUAGACGCGACACGAAUGGUCCAAAUAACCCUGGGCUUUUUCGCAACCCCGAACGUUUGGGAGACAGCCACCGCGUCGGUCGUGUGUGUGCCACUUCUUCCAUCUCUGUGUAUCCUCCUUGUUUCGAGGUUAGGUGGGCAACACGCAUUUACGCCGUGGCCCAGCGCCACGCAGCUUGGCACAGCUUUUUCGGCCAUCGUUGUGUAACGCGUUUCGUCUACGUGUUGGCCCAGCCGGAUGCUCCCAGCGCUUUACAAGCGCGAUGUCGUAUCGUCUGGCUAGUCGCGGCUAGUUCGCUUCGCGAGGUCCGAGACGUCGGACAUUUCUUUCUUUUUUCCUCGUCGUUGGUCCGGUGUACGCGACGCGCAGAGUUCACUUUCGGUUCGAUAACAGUGUCGGGCGAGUCGAAACGAACGACGGACUCUCUCCGCGGCGCGAUUCUUGAAACGAGAGGCGACGUAUCGGUUGCCCAGCAGUGCUCGCUGCAACUCGAGACGGUCGCGGUCGAGAGGAUCUUGUUAAGGACCGUGGUGUACGGGCGUCGAAUCGUGCGGUUUUCGCAGCCCAGUGCUCGAGAUGUAUCUGGGACUAGAAUCGAUUCCUUCGAAACCGUCGUGUUCCCUGGCUCUCGGUCGAUCGUAGAUUGACGGUUAGAAAAGCUGAUCGAGAUUCCUCGGGAACUAUGCCACCUUUCAAUUCUGUAUUGAAUUCCUGCACACGGCCGUCUUCAAGGUCGUAAUUGUGUAACGACGUUCGGAGACGCGGUCUGCUCGGCAGACAUAGCGUGAAUUGCAGUUGUCGCUCGUGGCCGGUAGUGAUGUCCGACAGCGGUCAAACGGCGUCGCGAGAAAUCGCUCGUUUUCCCUGAGUUUCUUUCGUACGCUUCGGUUUUAUCUCACGGCCGUCCACGGUCGAUCUCUCUCCAUUAUGUAACUCGAUCGUCGCUGUAAUUGACUCGAGUUUAUUAAUCGAUCCACGGUCUCUUCGGGGAUACAGACGAACAUUUUCGAGACUCGGAACGAUUGCAUAAUGCGCGUGAAUCGUAAUUCACCACGUCGGUAACGUCGGCCGACUGCGUCCAACGGUUCGGAUAUGGUCCAUUCCGUUCCUCGAUUUGACGUGCAUCGUGCAAAGUGCGGUAUUCCGUCGUUUGUGAUCGUAAAAUAAAAGUAUUUCAAUGAUUUUUAUUUUCGUUCGAAGUAAGGUUGGAACCACCGAAAUCUCGAGUCGCGAUUGUGCAAUAACCUGUGUCUGUAUCGUAGCUGCACUCUACCUGCUGCACUCUUGAGUGCAUCGUCUCGUGUUUCGACGUUUUCGACUGGAAAUUUUAAUGCCCGGUAAUCGUCUGUGCGCCGAACAUAAAUAAUCGUGACCGUUGAACCGUGAGAUACAUUCGAACGGGAAAUAUAAAAACGAGAUAAAUCGUUUAUUAAUGGUAAAUAAAUGAGAAGCGCGAAAAGAUUGAUUGCACGUGGUAACGCGUGACGUAAUCCGACGCAGACCGACUAAACACGUGUACAGGCGUGACUUAUCGAUAGUUAACGAUUCAAGCGAUUUAAGCAAUUUCAAUAAUCGAACUUGACUCGCGCAUGCGACGUCGGGAAAUGUCGUUGAAUCGAUUUUCAUUUUUUUUUCUUUUUUUUUCUUUUUUUUUCUUUUUUCUUUUUGCGAAAACAAGGUUUUUAAUUAGACGCGUUCAGGUGUUAUAUUGGGUGUAACUAACGAGCGCGUCCCGACGCCAGGAAGUCGCAGCGCCCGAGAACAGUCGCCUAUUAUUAGAAACGUCUCUUCUCCUCGUUCCACUCUCUUUAACCCGUCGGGCGCGUCGUGACUUUCGGAUUUCUCUACUCGAAAAUUCAAUAGUAUAAAUAAAAAUGAAUCUAAAUAGUCGAAACAAAGAACUCGGGCGGUUGAAGUGCGCGAGGGUUGCAGCUAAAGAUACCGUUUCGUAAUGUAACCUUAAUAGUGGGAUGAUUAUAAGGGGUUAUGAGGGGGGAGGGGUGCAAACCGUACAGCGAAGGAAGGCAACACGAGAAACAGAGCAAACGAGAGAAAGUGUGCACGAACGAGAGAGCUAAACGGAAGCGAGCCAAUAUGAGAUUACAGGGCAGUUGGGGCUCGUGCCAGAUGCGCGUUUACACGGGCCGUGAAUGCUGUAAAUGCACUAUCUGGUACGACAUCUCUCCUGUCGCCGCCACCAGUAACACCGAGCUGCUGCUUUUCGGCGGUGCGACGUAAAAAAAAAAAAAAAAAGUAGAGUUUUUGAUUACACUUCGAGCCAAUUUUCAACCAUUCGAGCCACAGGUCACCGUUGCUCUCUAAAGUUAUUAAUCCGAUUCGCCAUUAUUCGGGAUUCCUUUCUGUGUCGCGCCGAUUAUUCACGGUGGCUCGAAGAGAUAAACGUCGUAAUGGAACCGUAGCAUAUUAAAGUUCUUUAAAUGAUCUGCGAUUUUCGUUGACACGUUCGCAGCCCCUCGUCCUCGCGAGUUUCGUUGGAACGAAUAACAGCGAAUUCGAUUGCGAUAACUUCAUUCCUGGCGUGUUGAUAAUUCCACGGGCAGCGAACGUGUUAAGGUCGAUUUAUAAUAUCCGCACAGACCCGAAACGGUUCCGUGUCGACACAGACACGAGUGUUUCUAUUAUACAUACGUUCGUCGAUCGGUGGUACCGAUCAGUCAGUUAACAGAAAGCGUUUCGUAAAAGGCACGUAAUAGCGCGAAUAGGAAAAAUGUUUUCACAUUUAAGUAUGCGAGAUUUUGUCUGAACCGGAACAUAUGCAUAUUGUCAGCGCCGACGCCCGAUAAAGUAUUCUUCGCAAGAAUGUCGGAUGGCCGGACCGAUGUCGGUAGGUGUCUGUGCUGAUACGAUACGACAUAUGUAUAAACACCUAUGUACAAAUUGCAUUAUAGAAUACUUUUCUGAUCGGUGCUGAACGGAUACGUUCCGGGAAUGCGCGGAUAGUUUAAAUCGACCUUUAAUCGGUUGCCCUAGACACUGGUACUUGUGCGAAAGAAAAGUUGCGAUUUGCAAUGGAAAACUCCCGUCGUUUUCCGAGGGCUAAUUACCUUAAUCGUCGUAAAAAGAAUGAAGAAUGGGGUGGCUCGUGUAUAAAACGGGAGGCUAGCCCGACGACGAUACCGCGAUGAUCAACGAGGGUGCAGAUCGCGUGUGUUUGUAAGUUCGCGUCUCUAUCCUCGUCUCUGUAUCAUCCCAGCAGAAAAAUCCACACGUCGACGAGCGAGACAUCCGACCUGUCAUUGAAAAACGUUACGGAGACGCAAUGUCACGUUGCGUCACGUACAAGGAACAAUUGGAUACGCGAAGAACACGGAUCGCUUUACGUCCAUAAAGUGUAUCGUGUUCUGUUCCGGUAUCGUGUAAUGCCAUACGAACUAGCGUGUCAUCCGAUCAUCCGUUGCACGGUGGAAUCUGUUUAUUCGAACGACCCGUGAAAUCGCAGAUCGACGAUUCUUAAAUAAUUCAAAUCCACGGGACGGCUUGCAGAGAAAAAGCCUCCCACGGAUGUUAAUUUCGAGUAGCUAGUAGUCUUUUUACUACCCCGGGGCAAAUAUACAUUAAUAAAAGCGUAUCGCAACGGAUCAUUCGAAAAUUGCUUACGAUAGAAUUGUUUACGAUAGAAUUAGCAGCGUCAAUAGCUUGUAGUAAUACCUUGUUGACUUAUAGUAAUGUUAAUACGUUCUCUCGAGCUGUACGAUAACAAGAUUCUUACAGUAAAUAUUAAUUUCGAAAUCCUGCGGUAAAUCCUUAGUAAAAUUGACCGAUGCACCUGGUAGUAGUCCAAGAUUAAAGAUCCUCCAAUCCCACAGCGCAGAUCGUACCAGAUUGCACGUGUCCGAGUGUGUGUGUGUGUGUGCGUGUACCAGCUAGUUAAAAUUGGAUCGUAGUACGAGAUUGCGAAAUUCUAAUCUAAAACUAGAGUGUAGAGCACCCGCUGUAGAAAUCGCGAAACACGUGCAAAAGUUAUCCCAAGCAUAACCGUUUGCGAUUUUAUUUAUAAUAGGACAAACCUGCACGAUUCGUUAGAAUACGACCUUACUUAACAUUCCAAGCUUUGCAGGCCAUCGACCUCGAAAUACAUAAUAAUUUGGAACACGAGAAUAAUCUCGAAAUCGUCCCUGCGAAUGCAAGAAUGUAAUCUUCGUAAAUACUCGAAUUACACGCACAAAUGUAUCUUGCUACGUUUUCACGAAGCUACACGUUUGAAUAAAAUUGACAUCGUUGUAAAUCGAAUACGAGAACGACCCGUGUAUCGAGAGAAGGCUACAGAAAAAAAUAUACAUUCUUAUAUAAACAAGAAUUCCGUCCGUCUCUGAUGUCGUACGAUACUCAAGAUGGCCGAGGACGAAGCAAAACAAAAUAGAAGAAAGGUACACAGCAAUGUCGGUAGUAGGUAAAUAGUAAUGUACACGCUCGCACAAUAUCUACGACGCAAGCACGAGAAAUGGAAAACCUGCGUUUUGUCGCGUUAAAUUUAAGGUGUCGCUCUAAAAAAAAAGCGUUAACGAGCAGUAGUACAACUAAAAGUAGUACAACUAAAAGUUCCCCGUUAGAAAUUUCUGGCUGUGCACCACUGUCAUCGAGUCACGCGAAAAUCGACGCAGGAUUCUUUCUGGACGCUCCCAGCGUGUUGUUUUUUUUUUCUGCUGUUCGUAACGUAAACACAUGCGUUGUUGGAAUGCUGGAUUUCUCGAGAUAGCCUCGCGUUGAAAAAAGAAUCGGUCGAGUUCGCUUACGGUCGUGGUGUACACGCUAGAGCCUUCGUUCUCCGUUGAAAAACCUGUAUCGCUGAAAUAAUAUCGUAGUUUUCAGUGGUAUUCAAAGUGCUCUAUAAGAAUGUUUCGUAAUCGAUAGAAAUCUAAGCGACGAACAGUUUCUCGUGUUAAUCGCGUCCACAGAUGGCACCACGUACGCCGAUGCGCCCUUAUCGCAAUUAUUCGCGUUUUCGCGGGAACGAAAACAACGGGCGUGCAUUUUUCUCGCAUAUAACCUCACAUCCAGCCGUCGUCUUUACGCCUUGGUAACAGAGACGAAGCGAGGGAAGUUACUUGGAUUCCGAUGCUGAUCGUGGACAAUCUUUCAAGUCCCUUAAAUAACGCAUCGAUUCGAUCAUUUUCCAGCCUCGUCGACAUCGUCUUUCACCACGGCAUCGUUGUAAUUGUAAUGACAAUAAAUAUCAUUCUUGUA